RNAcentral lists this long non-coding RNA (1236 nucleotides) under Homo sapiens (human). Its description in RNAcentral is "HSALNT0149713". Lineage: Eukaryota; Metazoa; Chordata; Mammalia; Primates; Hominidae. The record is from RNAcentral.
UAUCUUCAGAUAAAAUCUAGACAGAAGCAUUAUCAGAAACGUCUUUGUGAUGUUUGCAUUCAAGUCACAAAGUUGAACAUUCGCUUUCAUAGAGCAGGUUUGAAACACUCUUUUUGUAGUAUCUGCAACUGGACAUUUGGAGCGCUUUGUGGCCUAUGGUGAAAAAGGAAAUAUCUUCCCAUAAAAACUAGACAGAAGCAUUCUCAGAAACUUGUUUGUGAUGUGUGUACUCAACUGACAGAGUUGAACCUUUCUUUUGAUAGAGCAGUUUUGAAACACUCUUUUUGUAGAAUCUGCAAGUGGAUAUUUGGAUAGCUUUGAGGAUUUCGUUGGAAACGGGAAUAUCUUCAUAUAAAAUCUAGACAGAAGCAUUCUCAGAAACAUCUCUGUGAUGUUUGCAUUCAAGUCACAGAGUUGAACAUUCCCUUUCAUAGAGCAGGAACCCCAAUUGUUUUCAAAUUCAAGAAUUCAGAGAAAUCUACUUGUUACAAAAGAGUAGAAUGGAUAAUGGGCACCACAUCCUGAAGUGUAUUUUAAUAAAAAUUCAUGUAAGAUGGUUCAAAAUUUCAUUAACUACUUUAUAUAAAAAGAAAUGCCUGGGAGAAUUCUGUUUCUAGCAGAGUGGCAGACUGAUGCCUUGAACAACCCUCCUAUUACAAAACUGAAUACUCCACAUGAAAACAAAUCUUUUCAAAUGCAUUGUUAAGCUGUGAAGAGAAUAACGAAAGUUCUAAGAAACCAAAAUCUAAAUGAAAACACAAGUCCAGGCAGGCACUGAAAACCUAAAAAAAAAAAAAAAAAACUGAAGAGGCCAAUUGUUGGCAAGCAUGUGGAACAGCAGGAACUCUUCAAGCUGCUGCUGGUGGCGGAGGCCAAGCCACUGUGCUCCCAGAACACAACACAGAAGCCUCCACACUGAAGCAGAGCACAGGUGCCCUGGAGUCUCCACCCCACCCAGGGAUCCUCCAGCAGAAGUGGGUGUGCCCCUGCAUACCUGCAAGUCCCAUAUGCAGACCUACUGUUCAGGGCUGUGGGAUAACAGCCAAAAAUAGGAAAUCAUUUUACUCAUCAAUGGAAAAAUGGUGACACAGUCAUAUAAUGGAACUCAACAAUGACGAUAAAUCAAUGUCUGCCAUAGACAAGAACAUGGAUGUGUUCUGUAAUACUGAACCAAAGAAGCCAGGCUAAAUAGAAUGUGCUGUAUUUUAUAGAAGUCAAAACCAGGCAGAACAAAUC